Long non-coding RNA from Felis catus (domestic cat), 5450 nucleotides. RefSeq lists it as uncharacterized. The transcript has 3 exons. NCBI's taxonomy places the organism in Eukaryota, Metazoa, Chordata, Mammalia, Carnivora, Felidae. The record is from RefSeq and is a predicted model, not a curated record.
ACUGCAGGCUCUGAGCUGUCAGUGCUGAGCCUGAUGUGGGGCUGGAACUCACGAACCACUAGAUCGUGACCUGAGCUUAACUCAGGUGCUUAACCGACUGAGCCACCCAGGUGCCCCUUGAGUGUAUUUCAAGAAGAGGAUUGGCAGGAUGUGGAUCAGGCUGAAUUUGGUGUUGAGAGAGCAAGGAAGAGAAAGAUGUCAACACAAGAAAAAAAUUAUUUUUAAUGUUUAUAAUUUAUUUUUGAGAGAGAGAGAGAAAGGCAGAGAAUCCCAAGCAGGCCCUAGGCUGUCACCGCAGAACCUGAUGCAGGGCUCGAACCAAUGAACCGUGAGAUCAUGACCUGAGCCAAAAUAAAGAGUGGAGGCCUAACCGACUGAGCCACCUAGCCAUCCCAGGGCAAGUGUUUUCAAUGUUGAAGUGCUUGGGGGGUGUAGCUUUUGCAAGUAGUGGGGACAUCGGAAAGGAGAGUGAGUCCCUGAACAGGGAGAUGCUCUCCUUCCUUUUCAACAGGGUGAACUUCCUGUCAGCAGUAUAGCCAUGGAAGACAGAUGAAGCCACCAGCAAAGAACACUUCGAAGACUCGGGCCUGAGGUGGUAACGUGGAAGUCAUUCAGGGUGCUGGUGGCAAGAACUGGGCUUAAGGGGAACACACUCAGGCUGGGGGAGGCAAACGCAGGCCAGGUUGGUGGGGGCAGCCCGCAGGAAGUGGGCAUAGACCAGGCACCCUGGCCUCUAGCAAUUUUAACAUGGUCACAUCAACUCGCUUUCUUUACUGCUCUGGAAGGUAACCCAGAGCUUCAGGAUUCAAAAUCUUAUGCCACUGCUCAAAUAUAACAACAACAAAAAACAUUCUUUAGCACUUGGAACUUUCUAGUUGAUGGCUCUACCGAGAGCCCGGGCAGGAGUGGAGCUGGGACGUACAGGACCCUGCCAGAUAGGAGGGUGGGGUGGGUGGCUCCCCCAGCCUUCAGUUACCAGAAGAAUUCUGCCAAGAACUGAGGCUCCAGGCUACCGCCCUCCUCUGCCUUGGGCCGCAGUCCGCACACAGGCCCCCUGGACCGUCAUUAACCCUGGAGUCCUGGCCGCCUUGAGUGGGGGUUACAGGCCGCUCCUGAGCAGGGCAGAAGGUGGCAGAGGGAGUAAAAUGCCUCCUUCCAGGGGUAUAAAAGCAGGCGGGGGCUUCCCAUGACCGGGAGAGGAGGAGGGAGGCGGAGAGCCAGGAGGCCCUCUCCCCGCCCCCCCCCCCCCCCCCCCCACUCCGGGGAGCUCUACAGGGGAAAAGAGGGACCCGGGAGAGGGGAUGCUGGGCAAGGCCUCAAGUCGCUGCGGUGGGUGGCGUUGGGACGACAGACGCAGGCUGCCGCGGCCCCUCUCGCAGGUUUGGGGUCCGUCGGCCUCAGCCCCCCUUCGAGGUGGGGUAAGUGCUGCCCGGGCCCAGGCCGAGCAGGGCGGGUGCCCGCGGCCCAGGACGCGCGCCCAGGUCGCCUGCGGGUGAGGCGGAGGCAGAAGCAGGCUGCGAGCACACGGACUCGUCCCCUCGAGGGUGCCCUCCCUGGGGCCCACGCAGGACUCCGACCUCUGCCCGCGACAGCGUGGACGGGUUCGGCGGCCCUAAACCACCCAAACCUCCACCGGCCAGCGAAGCAUUUGAUGCUCCCUCAGGCGACAAAAGACCCCCCAGGCGCGCGGCUCCGGGUACAGCGCCCCCCAGAGCCAAGGCCCUGAGGCUGGCCGCGAGCGCCUCCGCACCAAGGUCAACGACGGCCCGGCUGUCUGGCGCCUCCCUUUCCUCCUCCCGAGCGCUCAGCUCCAUAGGGACUGGGCCGCAGGACCCACACCGUCUCCGAUCCGGGUUCCCCACGGCUCGGGGAGCCCAGGCACCACCCGGGUCAGGCCUUCAAGAAACUACUAGCAACCAGAGGCCCUAACCCAGGAGGGAAGGCAGUUUGGCAUAUGAAACGGAUGGCAAGACGGGGAUUACUGUGCCUAUAAAUCAGUGUUGUGUUCUGGAUAAUCUAAUACAUUUUUCAAGUGUUGUUCUCGCCGUUUGGCAUGCACGGAACUGCUCGGUUGGCACAAAGUUUGCAAUCAAUCUCUCCUGCCUGCUCCCCACGCGGCCUCGCCACCUCCUCGAACCUUCCUAAUAUUUUAUACAUAAACCGGUUUGGAUUCACGGGGCAUUCCAGCUAGUAAAUGCUCUGAAGAUUCAUCUUUAUGGACUAGCAGCCCAGCCUUGUAGCGUCUCAGCUUCUCAAGAUGAAAAGGAAUUUUAUUUGGUGUGUUAUGCCACGCGGGGAAUGGCUGCUGGCGGGUUGCUAGGUUCUAUUAUUAUCGUGUGUGUUCUUCUCCCGGGAGGAUGAGGCAAGGCCUCACGGGUGGGGCCCUCAGAAAACUGACAAUCCUUAUUUCCCCUCUUCUUCCCAGACCCUCCCGACAGUGUGUCAGGGCCCCGAGAGGCUCCCCAGGACCCCAGGGAACGGGGGUGGCGAGUUUUGAGCGAUCCAAGUGCAUGUCUCCGCUAGCCUGCAUCCCUGCACUGGGGGAAGAGGGACGGGGGAUCCACUAGAUUAAGACAACUGUUGGGGGGAGGGGAACAGCCCCACCAAAGGGAAAGAAGAUAGUGCAGUUUCAUUUGCUUUAAAGCACAGCCUCGUAAUAAAUGUGCACAGCAAAUGUGCUGAGCAAACACCUCGGCGUUCAUCAAUAUGCGGGGCCUGUUUAUUGCCUCAUAAACUUGGAAGCAAGUGAUAUUGUCUCUUAAAUCAAUGGCUGUGUGGACAGCCUUGGCGCUCCAGGAGAACAGGACAUCCAGGCCACGCGGCGCUUAAAUUAAUGGCUAGAGCAGUGACUGAAAGGUGCUUAGUCACUGCUGGGGGAUUAGGAGCCAUUUCCAAGGAGGCAGAGCAUCCUUAGUACGUAUCUAUGCCAGGAUGACAGGCCAGGGCACCUGGCAUGCUGUGGGGGUCUCCUCACCCGUGAGCUGUGCUACAGAAGGCACAGAAGGGGGGCCAAUGCCCCAACCCUGGGGGAGGGGAGAGGGUCUGUUUGUCUGCCUCUCUAGGCUGUGGGUCCUCGAGAGCUGGUCUGGGUCCCUCCAUUCUGGACCCCCAGCACCUGCAUCAGGCCCCAGCUGGAGUAAAUACUGGAAGAGGGUGGGAGGGGAGGAAGGCAGGCAGCCAAGUUAAGAAAGGAGACCAUGGGAAGCCUGCAAUGAGGCUAAGUAGAGAUGAUGAGUGGCCUUGCCACGCUGGGAGGCACCGCUUCCGAGGCAGGAUGGGGACCAAGACACCUGCCACCGAAGGGGGCUUUCGUGUCUAUGAAGCACUGGCCCAGUUGAGAGAUGUUCAUCGGGCCCUGAUGAAGGGCCAGUGCAGGGGGCAUCUUCAAGCAGAGCCAGACUCCCUGUGGUGCCCUGAAUGGUGAUACCCCAAAAGAUAGAUGUCCACGUCCUAAUCUCUGGCCCCUGUGAAUGUGAUCUUAUUUGGGGAAAAAAGGGUCUUUGCAUAUAUAAUUAAGGAUCUUGAGAAGAUUCUCCUGAAUUAUCUGGGUGGGCCCUAAACCCAAAGACAGGUGUCCCUAUGGGAGAGAGGCCGAGGUAGGUCUGAGACAAGACGGGAGAUGGAGAACAGAGGAGACAGAGGCGGAGUGAUGUGGGGACAAGCCACGGAACACCAGGGAUUGUCAGCAGACACCAUAAAUUAGGAGAGGGACGAACAGAUUCCUGCCCCCAGUCCCGAACCUUGAUUUCAGACUUCUGGCCUCCAAACCAUGAGAGAAUACAUUUCUGUUAUUUUAAGCCACCAUGGAUAUGGUAAUUAGGGAUAGCAGCCACAGAGGCGAAAGUGUGCCUCCUCCCCAAACUUGGGCUCAGAAAGGCACGUUGUCUUCUGGGCAGGUGCUCCUGCAUUCUUGGGGACAACAGGUUCUGGCCAGGAGUGCUUGAACCCACGGGGACGGCCCGGCCUAGCAGAGUGCUGGAAAAACUCAGCGACCCUGCUUUCCUUCCUUGGUCUCAGCAAGUGCUCUUAUAGCACCAUCCAAAGCACAGGAGGCCUUUUAUGCCUGCAUUUGUUAACCCAUUCAGGUGCUCCAAGACUCCUGCCAGGUAAAAGUCUCAAAGCAGCAACCACCCCUGGAAUUUUACUGAGGUCACAAUGAGCCUUGGGGACAUGGAACAGGAGCCUGUGAUGCCAGGCAUGUGGCUUGUACCUGGGCCGUAUAUGUUGCCUCGGGUGGUUUCCUUGUCUAGACCCCAGUCACUUUCAAGUUCCAUGUUUAUUCUCACCGCCACCCGAGGUAGUUGCAUCUGGACUUUUCUCCUUGGUUUUCCCUUCAUAGCCCCCCACCACGGACCCAAUCCCUUUCACCUGGGAAGAGUGGGCAGCCUCUAAGCCCAAGAAAAGUCAUAAUUCAGUCAUUUUGCAAGUUGGUGAAUUGAUUGACCAAUUCAAUCAAUGGUGGAAGUUUAUAGGGAGGAAGUUCCCUUGGAUAAAUUAAAGAAGGUGCCAUGGGCAAAAAUCUGGUCUUCUCUCAAGAGCCUCCUAUGACCUUGAUAAUUUUCAGUGUGGUUUAAACUGUCUACCUUAAAGGAUCAGAAGUCCCAAAGCAUUCACGCCCAAAGUCCUUCCUCUCACAAGGGGCUCACGGGAGACUGUUAUGGGCUCCAGAAUGACAAUUUAUUAAUCUACAGUGAGAAACAGGCUCAACUAUGUGACAUUGCCAAUAUUCAAAUGCUUUCGAACUACAGGAGUGGCAAUUUCAUAUGAUCCAACAUUAAUACCACCAUGGGGAUCUGAAAUACUCAGAUCUGUAUGCCCACAAUUGUCCCCUGCAGGCCCCCUAUGUGGGAAGCCCAAUUAUAAUCAAAGAGGUACUUGGUGAGCAAUGAACCGGAGCAAGGAUUCUGGGGCUCGAUGGUGAGAAACAAAAAAGCAGGCCCUGGCAGCUGUCAGCUGGGAGCCGGCCUGGUACUCACAGCUAGGCCAUGGUGUUCUUUUGUUGAACAAACACAAUUUCACUGAACACCAACAUCGAACAAGGUCACUCUGUGACCGGGAUGGGGAGAGACAAAAACAAGGCCACUCCUGUAAUCAUGUCUGAACACAGACAAAAAAACUCAAGCAUACUGUUUAAACCACAAAAUGACCGCCUGUGCCUCCUUCCCACCUGGUGUGAAUGACAGCCACUUUGCCAAUUACAGCCCCAGCCUCACUCAUUCAUCCACCUCCUAGAUAAAAUUAGUGAUGCCCAGUCCUACCCAAUUUCAACGUUCUGAUACCCCAUCCAAAGCGACAGCCUCCAACAUCACCUAGUGCGAGCUGAAAUCCUAUAAAAUGGUCCCUCCGCCACCUCCUUACCAAGAUACCCCAAGAUUCCCCGUAGUGUGCAGUCUCCCUGGAGGCAACAAGUACCAAGAAACCCAACUUUGUUCAACUACCUGUGUGUUCCU